AUUUGAUGAUCAUGAUCUCUAUAGUUAAGAACACAUAAAAUAAGCACAUGCUAUUAAUGAGACAAAACGUGGAUGUAAAAGUGUAAUUCAAGAUGUAAAUCAGAUUCUCUGACAGUGCUAUUUGUACAUAUGAAAAAUGUUUAUCAGACAGCUUGGAAAAAGUUAAAUAAAUAAACAUUAUAUAAGCAUUUAUUUUAUAAAGCAUAAGAUGGAUGAUACUAUUUAUAGAAAGUUACUGCAUUGUCAAACAGUUAACGGUAUCAGUAAUUGUGAUUUGUUAGAGAUUUCUAUCGUUGAUUAAUACAAAGAACUGCACUUCUGAGUAAUCGAUUGCAAUUAUUGCGUUAUUAAAAAAUACGAAGAAAUCAAUCUAGCCAGUGAAAGCUGAUAUUUAUUGACACUAAUUAUCAGUGAAAAAUACUUUUCAAUCACAAAUUAUCAUUAUAUGAUUAUGACCGCACAUGAUAUUUCUCUGGAUGAUAAGUUAUCGAUUGAAAUUAAAACCAAGAGCAUUAUCUUCUUCCAAUUUAUUGUACAGAGAUCUUAGUUCAUACAAUAGGAAUUUUUCAUUUUGCAUUUAUCGCAGAGAGAACAGUCCAUUAAGUUGUGUUAUCUCUAUUGUGUUAUUGUUUACUAUGGAUAUUAUUAUUUUCUUAGAAACAAUUCUGUUCUCUAUUUAAAUUUGUAAAGUAGCUGAAGUCUAUUAUUACAAAUUUGUUUCUUAAAAGUGAAAAUUUAUUUUUCAAAAUAGCAAUGUUAAAUAUACAAUAUUUUGUAUUAAUUAUUUUCGUAAAAAUGCCUUAAUUUAAAGACAUAAGAAAACUUUUGUAUUAUAUUUCUACAAAAAGGCUACAUGCAGUAUGUUGCUCCUAUAUCAAACUAAAAAUUUGUUUAGAUUAAGAAUAGCUUGUAGAUGUAGAAUAGAUUAAGAAUAUGCGACUGUUUAUUAUAUUUUUUAGUAUAAAAUACUAUUUGUAAAGAAGAAUCGUAAAAGAGUUUUGUACAUAGCCACAUACAGAUAUCAGCUUAAAAUUGAAAGCACCUUUCCUACCCUUAAGAAACUCACCCCCGCAAUAUCUUGCAGUCUAAAAUGCCAGCCCCUGUGCACCAUUUAACAACUGAAAAAUUCCAGUUAAUAUCUGCGACGCCUUCUAAGAAAACUUGUGACGCUUUAUCUGUCCCACCCUAUAUAAUCUCGAGUCCUUCGAAAUAAUAAAAUGUGGAUGACUGUACACUAGGAAAAAAUGUUAAACAAACUCGAAUUCAGGUUAGUGUGCGUAAACGAGCUAACGAGCUGAACGAGUUAGCGUCUGAAAAACAAAACAAAUAACAGAUAGAUAACAGAUGUAGAUUUUUAAGAAGCUCAGCUUAACGCGAUGUUUCUUCUGGCGUACAUUUAAUAUUAAUAAUUUUUCAUCCCACAAGGAAGAUUAAAAAAACGGUGGAGUCUUCAGCAUCUGAAUCUGUACAAGAAUAUGAUCGAAGAUAGCUAUUUCGUACUUUAGAACUUGGAAGGAAUAUCAUUGAAGUGAUGGCAGUGAAGGACAAAUGUAAAUGACUGGAAAAAUUGAAUGCUACGAAACUGGAAUGUAUAACCUGAUUAAGAGAAAACACCCGCUUGGAAAAUAAGAAUAUGUAUAAAGUAUUCCUUGGAGCCAUAGUGUGGAAUAAUGAGAAAGAAGGAAGAAGGAGCGGUUAAAGUGACCGUAUUCAGGGUUUCAAUGUUUUAACAUAGGAACACUAUAUAUAGGGUGUCUUGGAAUACAAACAGGGUGUCACUCUACGUGUAUACAAAAAUAAGUCGAAUAAAUUGAUGAAUGAUCGAAAUGAGAAAGAAGGAAGUAAGGGCGGUUAAAGUGACCAUAUUUAUUUCAAUGUUUUAACAUAGGAACACUGUAUAUAGGGUGUCUUGGAAUACAAACAGGGUGUCACUCUAAGUGUAUACAAAAAUAAGUCGAAUAAAUUGAUGAAUAAUCGAAAUGAGAAAGAAGGAAGUAAGGGCGGUUGAAGUGACCAUAUUUAUUUCAAUGUUUUAACAUAGGAACACUAUAUAUAGGGUGUCUUGGAAUACAAACAGGGUGUCACUCUACGUGUAUACAAAAAUAAGUCGAAUAAAUUGAUGAAUGAUCGAAAUGAGAAAGAAGGAAGUAAGGGCGGUUAAAGUGACCAUAUUUAUUUCAAUGUUUUAACAUAGGAACACUGUAUAUAGGGUGUCUUGGAAUACAAACAGGGUGUCACUCUACGUGUAUACAAAAAUAAGUCGAAUAAAUUGAUGAAUAAUCGAAAUGAGAAAGAAGGAAGUAGGAGCGUUUAAAGCGACCAUAUUUAUUUCAAUGUUUUAACAUAGGAGCACUGUAUAUAGGGUGUCUUGGAAUACAAACAGGAUGUCACUCCACGUGUAUACAAAAAUAAGUCGAAUAAAUUGAUGAAUAAUCGAAAUGAGAAAGAAAGAAGCAGGAGCGUUUAAAAUGACCGUAUUCAUUUUAAUGUUUUAACAUAGGAACACUGUAUAUAGGGUGUCUUGGAAUACAAACAGGGUGUCACUCCACGUGUAUACAAAAAUAAGUCGAAUAAAUUGAUGAAUGAUCGAAAUGAGAAAGAAGGAAGAAGGAGCGGUUAAAGUAACCAUAUUUAUUUCAAUGUUUUAACAUAGGAACACUGUAUAUAGGGUGUCUUGGAAUACAAACAGGGUGUCACUCCACGUAUAUACAAAAAUAAGUCGAAUAAAUUGAUGAAUAAUCGAAAUGAGAAAGAAGGAAGUAGGAGCGGUUGAAGUGACCAUAUUUAUUUCAAUGUUUUAACAUAGGGACACUAUAUAUAGGGUGUCUUGGAAUACAAACAGGGUGUCACUCUACGUGUAUACAAAAAUAAGUCGAAUAAAUUGAUGAAUGAUCGAAAUGAGAAAGAAGGAAGAAGGAGCGGUUAAAGUAACCAUAUUUAUUUCAAUGUUUUAACAUAGGAACACUGUAUAUAGGGUGUCUUGGAAUACAAACAGGGUGUCACUCCACGUAUAUACAAAAAUAAGUCGAAUAAAUUGAUGAAUAAUCGAAAUGAGAAAGAAGGAAGUAGGAGCGGUUGAAGUGACCAUAUUUAUUUCAAUGUUUUAACAUAGGAGCACUGUAUAUAGGGUGUCUUGGAAUACAAACAGGGUGUCACUCCACGUGUAUACAAAAAUAAGUCGAAUAAAUUGAUGAAUGAUCGAAAUGAGAAAGAAGGAAGAAGGAGCGGUUAAAGUAACCAUAUUUAUUUCAAUGUUUUAACAUAGGAACACUGUAUAUAGGGUGUCUUGGAAUACAAACAGGGUGUCACUCUACGUGUAUACAAAAAUAAGUCGAAUAAAUUGAUGAAUAAUCGAAAUGAGAAAGAAGGAAGUAGGAGCGGUUGAAGUGACCAUAUUUAUUUCAAUGUUUUAACAUAGGAGCACUGUAUAUAGGGUGUCUUGGAAUACAAACAGGGUGUCACUCUACAUGUAUACAAAAAUAAGUCGAAUAAAUUGAUGAAUGAUCGAAAUGAGAAAGAAGGAAGCAGGAGCGUUUAAAGUAACCAUAUUUAUUUCAAUGUUUUAACAUAGGAACACUAUAUAUAGGGUGUCUUGGAAUACAAACAGGGUGUCACUCUACGUGUAUACAAAUAUAAGUCGAAUAAAUUUCUUCCUUCGACAUUUCGUUUCCGAGAAAGCCGAGCUCGAGGUAGCUAUCACCGGCACUUUGCUUAUUCUGCUAAUUGCACGAGCCCGAUUUUCUCAAAACUCAGGCCUGAAUCGACAGAAAUGUUCUUUUUAUGUAGCAUACGUGCGUAUAUAAAUAACUUCUUGUCUGAGCAUAUCAACUAUCUUAAGACACCCCGUAUCGUGUUCACGGUAAAGUGCCUCGUGCGCCUCUUUUCUUCUUCAGUUGCACCUUACGCGUCUAUAUUGUCAAGGAAACUCUGCGAUACGUAAUAAGGCGACUAAAGUCUGAGUACUCGAUGAGACUCAGGUAUUAUAAAUGUCAGAGCAAUGCAACGAUAGGUACAAAUACGUGUGAACAAUAGGGCUGCCAGAAUACCUAAGCAAAUAAGGAAAAGGUCAAAAGAUAAUAGCACGAGCAUAGUGUGGAGAGUUGGAAAAUUGGAAUAGGCACUGGGAGGAGAAAGUGGAGGAGGAGGAGGAGGAGGUGGUGGAAGGUGUGAUCUAUGCGGCGAGAUAAAUUCGAGGACCUAAUUCACUUAACAGGCAAUUAUAGGGAAACCAAAAGAGAUGUCAGGUCGGAAGACGUAGUGGGUAAAAGACAGGAUAGAAGGAUCGUGGAAUGAGUAGAGAAGCUGGAAAAGAAAAGAAAAGAAUAGAGGAAGGCAAGGUGCAAGCAGGCUAAAGAGAGUUUUAGUGAAAACGGUGGAAUAAUUGCAGACCUUGGUACGAAAACCGGGCAAACGCAGAUUUUACAAGUUGUGUGGAAUCGAAUAAAACUGAAUUAAUUAUGACUCGUUUAAACGAUUAAUAUUUUGGACUUAGAAAGGCAUUCGUGUGACGAAUGAUAUGAGAAAUGAUGCCUCUUAUAUUUUUGAAGAAUGCGAUUAAGAAAUCUUUUUCGAUAUUUCGAUUUGCCUGGCCCUUGCACGAAAAUACUGGGAAUUUAAAAUGAAAUAUUUUCUUCUUUCACGUCUUUAUUUUUCCUUGACUCUCUUCCAUGCUCCGCAAACAGUUCCUUAGAUAAACCACUGACAUCCGGCCGCCGUCUCUCGUUUGCACAUAUUUACUUCUCCAUGACUGAUACGAUUCUUGUUCGUCCGAACACAUUUCGAAUCUGCAAAGAAAAAAAAAACACGCGAUUAAUAGAAUUCGAAACAUUUUGGUUGACGAGUCAACACAAUCAUUGACGCUAUAUUUUAGAACAAAAGCCCAGGUGGGUCCUAGACAUAGCCGAUUCUUCUUCCCAAAGGUCACAAUGCAUAGGUGCAAAAAUUCUUAUGAACGCAUUGAGCUUGUCUGAUCUUUGCACCGAUCGAUCGACGAUGUAUAAAAAUAUAUGAAACUCGACAAGUACAAUUUUUGUAACAGGUGGACUCGCCUUAUUUUUGCACCAGGAUCUUCAAUUAUUAGUCACAGUAUGUCAGAGUGUGAACGGAAGAGAUAUAGAGAUAGAUAGAGAGAGAUAGAGAGUGAGAGAGAGAGAAAGAGAGAGAGAAUAAGACAUUUUUGUAAAUAAAGGUAUCUGCAUGUAUGUAAAUAAUGGUAUAUAUGUAAAUAUUAAAGGUAAUGUAAGUAUGUUCUUGGAAGUGAGGCUGAAUAAGCAUACAUGUAUAUGUAUUGAUAAAUGUAAAAGCACGUGUCUACUUUCUUCGGUACAUAUUUUCUUGCUUUUGUAAAGACGUAGGACGAGACAGACGUCAAAACGAAAAUGAAAACGAUUCAUGUAUGAAGAUACAGUUCGAAACUUAUUUUCCAAGUUAUUCACGAACCGAAACGAUGACGCGGGAUUGAGAUGCAUGAAGAAUGAAUCGAGUACUAUAUAUCUAUUAACAUUUUUAUAAAAUUGUUUACAAUAGCAAUUGGUAAACUGUGGUGCAGGAUCUUUGGUGGAGGUAACUGUUGGAGAUUUGCAAGUGAUUUUUCAAACUAAAAAUCUGUAGGCUUAGUUCUAUUUUGUUUUAUGUUUAUAAACCAUACAAAAUCAAGUCCAAUCUUUAUUGUGUUUAUUAUGUUUAUAAAUCACAUAAAAGAAGGCCAGCAGAGUGAAACGAAUUAAUGCAAUACGAACUAAAAUUUGUUAUUCAAUCUGAUUGUUACAAACGAGGGUACUUAACUAAAACUUACAAGUUUAGUUUUAGUUUUCAAACUAAAAAUAUGUAGGCUUGGUUCUAGUUUUGUUUUAUGUUUAUUAACCAUACAAAAUCAAGUCCAAUCUUUAUUGUGUUUAUUAUGUUUAUAAAUCACAUAAAAGAAGGCCAGCAGAGUGAAACGAAUUAAUGCAAUACGAACUAAAAUUUGUUAUUCAAUCUGAUUGUUACAAACGAGGGUACUUAACUAAAACUUACAAGUUUAGUUUUAGUUUUCAAACUAAAAAUAUGUAGGCUUGGUUCUAGUUUUGUUUUAUGUUUAUAAACCAUACAAAAUCAAGUCCAAUCUUUAUUGUGUUUAUUAUGUUUAUAAAUCACAUAAAAGAAGGCCAGCAGAGUGAAACGAAUUAAUGCAAUACGAACUAAAAUUUGUUAUUCAAUCUGAUUGUUACAAACGAGGGUACUUAACUAAAACUUACAAGUUUAGUUUUAGUUUUCAAACUAAAAAUAUGUAGGCUUGGUUCUAGUUUUGUUUUAUGUUUAUUAACCAUACAAAAUCAAGUCCAAUCUUUAUUGUGUUUAUUAUGUUUAUAAAUCACAUAAAAGAAGGCCAGCAGAGUGAAACGAAUUAAUGCAAUACGAACUAAAAUUUGUUAUUCAAUCUGAUUGUUACAAACGAGGGUACUUAACUAAAACUUACAAGUUUAGUUUUAGUUUUCAAACUAAAAAUAUGUAGGCUUGGUUCUAGUUUUGUUUUAUGUUUAUAAACCAUGUAAAACCAAGUCCAAUCUUUAAGUCAGCAGAGUUUUUUUUUUUUAAUAUUUAUUAAAAUUACAAUCAAUUCUCGCGUUGAGAAUUUUCAGUAGUUUUUCUGGCGUGACGCAGUAACAUGGCUAAUUAUUUAUAAUAAGUUAUUACUUAUUAUAGAUAAGUAUAAGGCCAGCAGUGUGAAAACAAUUGAUACAAUACGAACUAAAAUUUGUUUUCAAAUUGUGUUAUUCUGAUUGUUACAAACGUGGGUAAUUAACUAAAACUUACAAGUUUAGUUCUGUUUUUAGUUUUGUUCUAUAUUUGUAAAUCGCGUAAAGAAGAAAUCCAAUUUCUGGGCCAUCAGGCUCAAAGAAAUUAAUACAGUGCAAACUAAAAUUUGUUGUUCAAUUUCACCGCUACAAAUGAGUGUAUUUCAGGGAAUACGAUUCCCAGGGGAUACGAAUAUUAAUAUGGGUCUUGAAACAUCGAUUACCAAAAGAGUCGAUACGAUUCGAGCACUGAAUCGAGUGGAUUCGUUUAAUUACGUUGUAAACGAUUGUUGGCUUGAAUGAUAAAAUUUGAAUACUUACACUCGUAUAUGUAUCGUAAUUAAAAAAUUGUUACAGGUGUGUAUGCGUUGUGGAUAAAUGAGCAUGAUGCGUAUUAUUGUUUUGUAUUUAGGCGGGUGGAUUUUCACGUACGCUAGCAAAGCGAGAAUUAAAACAGCUUUAAAUUAAUUACAAGAUUUAUAGACACAGGUCGAAAAGAAUUUAUAUCGACUAGCAAAUUCUGUCGCGUUAAAAACUGAUCCGACAGGGAAUUUCAGCUCGAUCUCGUUAUACUUUGAGCCUUAUGAUUUUGUGGAAACGCACGAGUCUGAAAUUGGAAAAUUGUUUGUUUAGUUAGAUGUGGGAAUAUUUCUAUGAUACAGAAAUUAGCUAUUUUUUCGUUUAUAAAUAAAAGACUUGCGUAGCCUUUGUAUUUAGAAACGAUACUUUUGCAUGACGUAGUACGUUACUUUUGCUCUUUGUACAUUUAUUUAAAAUACAGAGCACGAAAAUUAAAUCUAUACGCCAGCGCUGAAAUAUUGUACAAUUUUUGUGUUGUUCCAAACUAUGAAACUCUGACGCGAAAUUAAUACUUAAUAUCACGUUUGAGUUUGGUUUUUUCCCCUUCAAAUUGUAUCGCUACUGUAUCGAAAUUUGCAACACGGACAAAAACAGGAAAUUUUGAAAAGUACAAAUUAAUUGAACGUUAUCUUAAUAUUAUCGAUGGAAAUUGCUUGAUUAUCGAUGGAAGAUUAAUUAAUUUGUUACAAAGAAAAUUUUUUAAUUGAACAUGCCGUUAUUUACUGUGUAUGAUUUUGCACGUAUUUUAGAAUAUAUUUUGUCAAAUAUUUUUAAUAAAGUUAGAUAUUUGAUAUUAACAUGGGCAAAUAGAAAAUAUAGAGAUGUGACCUAAAAAUAAGUCGCUUCCGUUUCUUUAUCUUUUUUUACACAUAUUAUGAAGAUGAAUAAUAAUAAUAUGAUAAAUUCGAUAAAAUGUGAUUCAUGUUAUUGUGCGCUGUGUAAUAUCUACUGCGGAUAAGUAAAAAGAUGAUUUCAACAUUUAGCCAACCAUUAUUUAGUACGUAAGAUGAGAUGAAAAUAUUGUUUUUCUUGUCCAAGUAAUUGUGUCAUCAAAAGUUCUAUGAUAGCUUCUACUUUGUAUUUAAAUGCACUUGCUGUUGGAACGACGGUUCAUCUCUCAAUUUCUGCAUGGAAUCAUCCGACUAAUUUAUAACUAUAAUUUAUAGUCACAAUUUUUAUUUAUAGACAAAUUGCUUAGAGAUAUAACAGAAAUUCUUUGACUUUUAAAUAUAAAAAUGAAAAAGUGGUAAAUAUCAUUUAAGUUGGAAAAUAUUUCUACAUUUAUUAUGCUUGUUAAAAAAUAAAUUAUCGAAAGAGAA
Molecule: long non-coding RNA, 8455 nt
Organism: Bombus huntii
Lineage: Eukaryota; Metazoa; Arthropoda; Insecta; Hymenoptera; Apidae
Exons: 2
Source: RefSeq, a predicted model, not a curated record